RNAcentral lists this non-coding RNA (28 nucleotides) under Mus musculus (house mouse). Lineage: Eukaryota; Metazoa; Chordata; Mammalia; Rodentia; Muridae. The record is from RNAcentral.
UACAAAGCUUUGGGCACAGUAUAGAUGC